GGUGGGAUGGCCGAGUGGUGCAAGGUGGCUGACAUAGGUACGUAUUUCAUAAUCUCGUUUCUCGAAAGAGCCGUGGGCUCGAACCCCACUUCUAUCA
Coniochaeta sp. 2T2.1 is the source of this 97-nucleotide non-coding RNA. The record is from the annotation of a GenBank genome assembly. Lineage: Eukaryota; Fungi; Ascomycota; Sordariomycetes; Coniochaetales; Coniochaetaceae.